AGUGAACGCUGGCGGUAGGCCUAACACAUGCAAGUCGAACGGCAGCACAGUAAGAGCUUGCUCUUACGGGUGGCGAGUGGCGGACGGGUGAGGAAUACAUCGGAAUCUACUUUUUCGUGGGGGAUAACGUAGGGAAACUUACGCUAAUACCGCAUACGACCUACGGGUGAAAGCAGGGGAUCUUCGGACCUUGCGCGAUUGAAUGAGCCGAUGUCGGAUUAGCUGGUGGGCGGGGUAAAGGCCCACCAAGCCAACGAUCCGAGGCUGGUCUGGGGGGAGAUCCGCCCAACUGGAACUGAGAAAACGUUCCGAACCCGAAGGGAGGGAGGCGGUGGGAAUAAUUGGAAAAUGGGGGAAAGCUGAAUCAGCCAUACCGCGUGGGUGAAGAAGGCCUUCGGGUUGUAAAGCCCUUUUGUUGGGAAAGAAAAGCAGCAGGUUAAUACCCCGCUGUUCUGACGGUACCCAAAGAAUAAGCACCGGCUAACUUCGUG
This 491-nucleotide ribosomal RNA is filed under the name uncultured bacterium. RNAcentral's name for it is "partial 16S ribosomal RNA". It matches the Rfam family "Bacterial small subunit ribosomal RNA", at positions 29 to 507 of the family's 1533-position model. The record is from RNAcentral.